This 253-nucleotide ribosomal RNA is filed under the name uncultured bacterium. RNAcentral's name for it is "partial 16S ribosomal RNA". It matches the Rfam family "Bacterial small subunit ribosomal RNA", at positions 524 to 776 of the family's 1533-position model. The record is from RNAcentral.
UACGGAGGGUGCAAGCGUUAUCCGGAUUCACUGGGUUUAAAGGGUGCGUAGGAGGGCAGGUAAGUCAGUGGUGAAAUCUUCGAGCUUAACUCGGAAACUGCCGUUGAUAUUAUCUGUCUUGAAUACCGUGGAGGUGAGCGGAAUAUGUCAUGUAGCGGUGAAAUGCUUAGAUAUGACAUAGAACACCGAUUGCGAAGGCAGCUCACUACACGAAUAUUGACUCUGAGGCACGAAAGCGUGGGGAUCAAACAGG